Molecule: ribosomal RNA, 508 nt
Filed under: uncultured bacterium
Lineage: Bacteria
Description: partial 16S ribosomal RNA
Rfam family: Bacterial small subunit ribosomal RNA
Source: RNAcentral
AUUGAACGCUGGCGGCAUGCCUUACACAUGCAAGUCGAACGGCAGCGGGGGAGAAGCUUGCUUUUCCUGCCGGCGAGUGGCGAACGGGUGAGUAAUACAUCGGAACGUGCCCUGUAGUGGGGGAUAACUAGUCGAAAGAUUAGCUAAUACCGCAUACGACCUGAGGGUGAAAGUGGGGGACCGCAAGGCCUCAUGCUAUAGGAGCGGCCGAUGUCUGAUUAGCUAGUUGGUGGGGUAAAGGCCUACCAAGGCGACGAUCAGUGGCUGGUGUGAGAGGACGAUCAGCCACACUGGGACUGAGACACGGCCCAGACUCCUACGGGAGGCAGCAGUGGGGAAUUUUGGACAAUGGGCGAAAGCCUGAUCCAGCAAUGCCGCGUGUGUGAAGAAGGCCUUCGGGUUGUAAAGCACUUUUGUCCGGAAAGAAAUGGCUCUGGUUAAUACCUGGGGUCGAUGACGGUACCGGAAGAAUAAGGACCGGCUAACUACGUGCCAGCCGCCGCGGUAA